Molecule: long non-coding RNA, 853 nt
Filed under: Struthio camelus australis
Lineage: Eukaryota; Metazoa; Chordata; Aves; Struthioniformes; Struthionidae
Description: lncRNA (ENSSCUG00000008385.1)
Source: RNAcentral
UGACAAAGCAAUUAAAGUUAAAGCAAAAAGGCUUAAACUCUGGACUGCUUAAGUUAUUAGUGUUUUUGCAUGAGUGAGAUCUUUUUAGAAGUCUAAUUUGAAUGUCAAAUUUGCAUACGAAGCUGGAAAACAUCGGGAAUGCCUAAUUGCCAUCCACGUCUAGAGUUCAGAUUUUGCUUUGAAACCAGCGUGCACAUAUUCCUAGGAUUCAUUUCUGGUUACUGUUUGAGUGCUUCCAUAAAGUGAGCUGAGCAUCUAAAUAAGUCCUGUGCUUGCUCACUAUAGAAACAAGUAUUCUGUAUUUAGAAUUUUAUUUCGUACAUGCGUUUUGACCCAUACAUUUUUGCUUUAGCAAAGAUAUGAUUCACUUGAAUAAAAUUAUACCCACUGACUUUUUCUUUUCUUGCAGAGGAGUUUGUUUUUAGGAUUCCCCAGCAUUUCACUUACAGGGACUUAACAGGCCUCCAAGACCAGUUUUGGAGCUGGAGAAAUCAGAGGUGAUACCCCAGCAUCUGUGGAAUUUUUGAAACGGAGAAUCGUGACACCUGCCACCAGGAUUGCUCUGUCCAGCACUCCUGCAGAAUCUUUUUCCUGCUGAAUUUGAAAUUACUGUUAAAUAAGUACUUAUCUGCGAUCCUAAGAAAGAGUCCUGCCUUACUGUACGCUUGCAAGGCAGCCCCAAGGGGCUCCCACCCUGCCUGGUUGUGUCAUACCAGCCCCGCGGAAGGAGAAGGGAUGCUACAGGUCUGUGGAGCACUCGCACGGAGAGACUGAAAGUACCCAUAAAAUCGACUCUUGCUAACCGGGAAAUUAUUUUAUGCGUUUUGUAUUCAAAGACAUAUUAAAAUACCUG